UUUCUUCUAUUCUUCUCUCUAUACGUUAGUGUUCUAACCAAUAAUCACCGAAGCGAUGUUCUGUCCGAUCGAUUCAGGAACCAACUAACGAAUGCCAAAGUACUGUACUUUGUGAAUUUCGAUAAACGGAAUCCAAAGUGCUGUACUUUGUGAAUUCGGUAAACGGAAUCCAAAGUGCUAUACUUUGUGAAGUUUGUUAAGGUUCGAAUCUCGUGACUACCGUUAGGUUUGAUUUAGGUUUUACACAAAUACGUAUUCCAUUCUGUUAAACUAUAUGUUUAACUACCAGAAUACUCCCAACUAUACACUUACAAUCAAAGUAGAUGCUAAUUCUUAGAAGAAUUUGAAUCAGGAAGCUUGUUAAAUCAAUACUGCAUGCUUAUACUGUAAUUACAGUAGAUUGGAGUAAGAGUUGGAUACGGCACCAACAAGGCUUACAGAAGUGGCUCAUUUUAUCAAUUAAAAUUUAAUUAAGAAAAAUUCAUUUUAUGUAAUCAGGUUUAUCCCUUAUUAAAGCUACCAUUGUAAAACAUGGGUUUUUAUCCCAUCUAUUUAAUAAAUAAAAAUCCGGUGU
RNAcentral lists this long non-coding RNA (574 nucleotides) under Helianthus annuus (common sunflower). Its description in RNAcentral is "hypothetical non coding rna". Lineage: Eukaryota; Viridiplantae; Streptophyta; Magnoliopsida; Asterales; Asteraceae. The record is from RNAcentral.